Podarcis lilfordi (Lilford's wall lizard) is the source of this 118-nucleotide non-coding RNA. The record is from the annotation of a GenBank genome assembly. Lineage: Eukaryota; Metazoa; Chordata; Lepidosauria; Squamata; Lacertidae.
CUGGGCUUCAUCAGUAGUUAAAGCUCAUGUGUGAUAUUACAGAACGGCUACUACUAUGCCGUAAGAUCCACUGUCCUGUAAUAUCACAUAUGAGCUGUAACUACUGAUGAAGCCCACG